GAUUUUUUUAGCUAAUGUUUUAAAAUCACGACAGUAAUAUAUUGUUAGGUAACAAUUAGUGCUAGGCACUUUCCUGCCAGAAUUGAUAGGAACCAUACUCUGGUGCAACUGUAGUCUUGCUGUGUCCCAAAUUGGUAUGUGGCCAGUCAUAGCAGCACAUUUUUCAGUCCCAAUUAAUGCACAAAAUCUAUAAAAAUGAAGCUUCUGUUAAUACAUGUAUUCCCCUCAGGCAUGAGAUAUGGAUGUGUUUGAGGAGUGUGGGUUGUAUCUUCUGCAAACAAGUAAUUUUGUUAAUUUUUUAUUAUUUGCUUAAUUACAUUUUUGCCUUAAUCUUCAGUUCUGAAAAUCAGCCGUGAAUGUGAACAGUAAGUACAUCAAGGUCUUGUCAUUGCUCAGCUUUUAAAGUUUUGUGGUUUUUUUGGCAGAAACAGCUAGAACAUAAAGUAUUUUAUAACUUUCCAGUGUACUGCUAUGAUGUUGUACCUGCUACAAGCAAACGAAGAUAAGAAAUGUGGUUUUAAUGGCAGAAGAGGUGCACAAAAUUGAAGAAUUAAUUUUUACUGUACCUAUUAUUUAUGGAGGUGUCCUGGUUUCAGCUGGGAUAGAGUUAACUUCUUCCCAAGAGCUGUUGCAGUGCUGUGUUUUGGAUUCAGAGUGAGAAUGGUAUUGAUGCUAUGGGUUUUUGCUAAGUUGUGUUUAUCCUAAGUCAAGGAUUUUUUUUUUUUUUUUCCUUGUCUUGUGCUCUGCCAGUGAGGAGGUUUGCAAAAGAAAUUGGGGGGGAACAUGUCCAGGGCAGGUGACUCAAACUGACCACAAGGAUAUUCCACACCACAGAAUGUCGUGCCCAGUAUGUAAACUGGAGGAGUUACCUGGAAGUGUGGCUGAUCUGAGAUUGAGAAGGGGGAUCUGUCAUCAGUCAGUGGAUGGUACAAAGCCUUCUGGAGGAUUCCUUCGAUUUAAUUUCUCUAGCUUAAAGCCGAAUGGAGAGAACAAAGGCAGAGCUCACAGUCAUUAAUUAAGAGGAUGAAGGAAGGCAGAGGGGAUGCUGACAGGAGGUGACAGACUCAUUGAAAAGAAAAAGCUACAUCCCGAGAAUGGGGAGAUAUUAUAGACAAUUCUUUGAGGCUUGCUGAAGUGCAAAACUAAUCCAAAAGCAUGCAGAGAAGGGGAAGAGAAGUGAUCCUGCACCUCCACCCCCAGAUUCACGAUCCUCAUGAGCUGCCUCAGGGUCUUGCUGCGGGAAACAAGGCAUGCAGUUUGCCACAAAAAUCUGUGUGAAGCCUGCAUGUUCCUCUGCGCUGCACUUAGCCAGGUCCCAGCAUUGCAAAGCCUUGUUCCACAUCACAGAGGAAUUACCAUCAGCUUGUGCGGAUAAUUUAAUGAGAAGCACUUCAAAAACGUUUAUUGUUAUGAAUCAUAUUGCCAUGAAUAGCCCUGCAGUUGGUGGUGGGCCAGACUUGGAAAUGGCUCAGUGCCCAGUGCAUCUGCUUUCAGAUACCUAAGUGGGGAGUUUUGGUGGCUGGGAUUUGAUUGUUCCCAGGUGGAACUGCUGGAGACUAUCCUGCCUUGAAAAAGAAGCAAGAACAAGCUGAAUUUUGGAUUUUUUAGCAUAUGUAGAAAGAAAAGGAGAGAAGCUUUCACCCUCAGCUUGAUCUUUGAGUCAUGUUUGAAGAACCUGGCCAUGAUGUGACCAAAGAUACCCGAGAAACACAAUUAUAAGACAAUAGGAAGAGCAGAGCACUUAGGAGUAAUGAGUCCAGCAUUACAAAUUAAGGCUGAAAGCUUUUAUGAUUGAAUUGGUAGCAUUGGAUAUUGAAUGUUUUACUGUGAUUGGAAUAGAGUUGUUGUUUUGGGGUUGUUUUUUAUUAGGGCUGUUUGUGUAUAUAUCCAUAGCUUGUCAUUAGUGCUUAGACACUGAUUUGUAGCAGCACAAAAGCAUUCCAUUGAAUGUCACUGCAGCUCCUAUUCCUUUUCAACAUCUCCUUUCUCUCAUUUCCUCUUUCUAACUAAAAAAAAAGGUGGAGAAGAACAUUACCACGCUGAUUUAUGUAAAUACAGCCCUAAUUCAGGCUGGUAUUCAGGCAGUCACAUAAAAAUGAUUCAGUCCCAUGAUGUUUGUAUCUUUAAUAGCUUUUGGGAUGGACGGAAUCUUUGUCCUAGUAAGGCCACCUCUGAAGGACUGGAAACAUGCAGAUUUUUCAUCUGAGUUGCACUGAGUAUUAGAAUGAUGAAUCAAUGAUUGCUGAAGCAUCUAAUUCAAUUAAAGCUCUGCAUCAAAGAACUGUGUUUGUCAACAUGAUCUUCAGAGAUUUUGAAAAUAGAUGGCAAAUAUCCAUCUACUACUGUUCCAGCCUUCUUCCAGGAAGAAAAUACAGAGAUAACUAGUUGUUAUCUGAUUAAAUCUGAAGAUUAUCAAUAAAUCUAGAAUUUAUGAGUCUAGC
Cyanistes caeruleus (blue tit) is the source of this 2441-nucleotide long non-coding RNA. RefSeq lists it as uncharacterized. Lineage: Eukaryota; Metazoa; Chordata; Aves; Passeriformes; Paridae. The record is from RefSeq and is a predicted model, not a curated record.